UGGGUAAUAUUGGACAAUGGGCGAAAGCCUGAUCCAGCCAUGCCGCGUGUGUGAAGAAGGUCUUCGGAUUGUAAAGCACUUUAAGUUGGGAGGAAGGGCAGUAAGCGAAUACCUUGCUGUUUUGACGUUACCGACAGAAUAAGCACCGGCUAACUCUGUGCCAGCAGCCGCGGUAAUACAGAGGGUGCAAGCGUUAAUCGGAAUUACUGGGCGUAAAGCGCGCGUAGGUGGUUCGUUAAGUUGAAUGUGAAAGCCCCGGGCUCAACCUGGGAACUGCAUCCAAAACUGGCGAGCUAGAGUAGGGCAGAGGGUGGUGGAAUUUCCUGUGUAGCGGUGAAAUGCGUAGAUAUAGGAAGGAACACCAGUGGCGAAGGCGACCACCUGGGCUCAUACUGGCACUGAGGUGCGAAAGCGUGGGGAGCAAACAGG
RNAcentral lists this ribosomal RNA (429 nucleotides) under Pseudomonadota bacterium. Its description in RNAcentral is "Proteobacteria bacterium partial 16S ribosomal RNA". It matches the Rfam family "Bacterial small subunit ribosomal RNA", at positions 355 to 776 of the family's 1533-position model. The record is from RNAcentral. Lineage: Bacteria; Pseudomonadati; Pseudomonadota.